This 2642-nucleotide long non-coding RNA is filed under the name Phaseolus vulgaris (common bean). Its description in RNAcentral is "long non-coding RNA (PVUL_LNC003872)". The record is from RNAcentral. Lineage: Eukaryota; Viridiplantae; Streptophyta; Magnoliopsida; Fabales; Fabaceae.
CUCUAUUUCCCCCAACCUUCCUCAUUGUAUGCUCCUCUACCAUCUCAGACUACCCAUUACCCCCUCUUAUCCUCAAAACCCUAACCCCUCUUCCUCUCUUUCCCCCAACCUCCCUCAUUAUAUGCUAAUCCACCAUCUCAAACUACCCAUUAUCCCUCUUAUCCUCAAAACCCUAACCCCUCUUCCUCUCUUUCCCCUACCUACCUCAUUGUGUGUCGUCUUCUGGAUACUAUGUGGACUAGAACUGGGUUGCCAGAGAGGCUCUUAGGAAAAUUUGGUUGACCCAAUUCUCUGUAAGUGCUUGUUUCUUCUAAGUAUUUGCCUAAAGUUGAUUUUGUUGGAGGAAAAGGUGGGUUUGGAUAAUGUCUAUGGACGAGUUUGAUUCCUUUUGUAUCUGGGACUGGUUUAUGCUCUUUUUUGGUUGCAAGUGUAGAGGGUGGAGCGUAAAAUGACGUGUUCCAAGUAAAACUGUACAGGUGUACCACUUUGUGUGGCAAGUCAUCACUUACUUAACGUCGUUGAAAACAAUCCAUUAGAAAGGACCAUAUUGAAUCAUUUUAAAAAAAGUUGGGAGCACAUUGAAAAUUUUAAAAACAUAGGGACGAAAUUGACUUGUGCUCCUUAAUAUAAGAACUAAAAGAGUAAUUAAGCCCCUAUAGAAUAAGGUUUGAGGAAGGUGAUUCAGGACUAAUUAUGACGGGUGCAUCCAAUAGUAUGAGGAAAAGAUAGAAAAGUACAAAUCUAGUUAUUCUAGAGCCUAGUAUGUCAGAAGGAUUCUGAUUCCAGUUCACACAUCCUCUUCCUCUUUAUUUCUCCAUAUUAAGUGACUUGCAUGCAUGCAUUCCCAACCGUACUAUCAAAAUAGUCUUCUUAGUUCUUCCUCCAGUGUCUUAAUUGGCUGUAUUGCUGAUAUGAUUCCCAAAUAGAACUAACAAUGGAAAUAGGAAUUUAGGGUUACGGAACGGAAUCAAUUAAAAAUAGUAUUAAUGAAAACUUGGAUAGAAGAAGGCGCCACAAACAAAGUUUGAUAAGCCUAAGGAUGAUUGCCACAAGAAUUGGUGGAUUCUUGAUAAGAUCGCAAGAUGCAAGGAAAAAAUCUAGCAGAGAAAUAUUCUCUCUUAAAUUGCCAAAAUAUUCAUUAUCAUUCUGAUUUCCAAAAAAUAUAUAAAUACAAAUUUAGUUAUAGGUCUUGUCUCGUUUGUAAGUAAAUAAAAAAUGAAAAUACAAUCCUUAUACUUUAAGAAGGAUCAUUUGUCCCAGUGGUUAAGUAGAUACUUUCUAACUCUUCUGAGUUCAAAAUCCUACUUGAAGUAAAAUAAUAAUAUUAUUUUAGUUUAAUACUCCAAACAUGUUGUGCACGUAAUCAACAUAGUCUUCUUAUAUUGUGAGCAAUUCAACAAUUGGGCCUCCAAAAGAUUAGCGGAAUCCUUUGAAAUGCCCUUGCUAGUCAGUCAAGUUUCCACGUGAAUUUUCACAUGUUUAUUUCAAUAAAAGUAGGUGUGCAAAAUAAUCCCUAUGCAAGACUGCAAUCCCAACCAGGUUGCACCUCAACCUGUAUUUGCAACACACCAAAGUAUCAAAGAAAUAAAGCAAACAAAACCAAACUGGAUAAAACAUUAGAAAUUGUAGUUUGAUAGACCAAAAUGUUCUCUAAAAUUAUCUUGCCUAACAUAACAUGGAUCUCAAAUGCAACAAGUCUACAAGCACAACUAUUUCCCUUUCUGAAAAUUUGUGAAGCCCUACAAUACACAUGGUUGAUUGGCUCAAGACAAAUUUUCCACCUGUUUCUUAAUUUCCAAGGAACCAAAGAUAUAUCUGAAAAUGCUUUAACUAUCAAUAGAAAAUCACAUUCCAGCCAAAAUUGAAAUCACCCUCUGUUAUAAGAAACUUCAAUGGCUUAAAUUGCACCCUUAAUUUCAGCAUUAAAAGGUAUCCUUAUCACCAAGUGGAGCAGCAAAGCAUACCAAAGAAGUCGCCAAAUUAUUUCUAGAAUUUCCUGCCCAAGCAGCUGCCCCAUUAGUGUUACAUUUAUUAUUAAUUGAAGGUCUUCAGCUGACCUAAAUAACCUUGAUGAAUUUCCUAGGAUGUACAAUACAACAAAAUCUUUGAUUGACUACACAUGGAAACAAACUACUGUAUACUCUUUCGCUUUUGAAAGAUCAUCAGUUGGUAGUUUGUUACAUACCAACCUCCAUACAGUAAUCAUAUAUGGAAUUUUCCUGGUCUUUUGAUACAAAACCAUUUUGAGCUGGUUGUUGAGGUUAGUAGAAUUUUUAUUCCCUUUGGUGAAGGCCAAGACUGUAUGACAUGGGAAAACACCACGGAGGGUAUGCUCUUAUUGUGACAUUCAUACAAGUACAUAAAAAACAAUGGAUAGAUCAUGGCUUGGACUAAACACAUACGCUCUCAAUGUGACAAUUAUUCUCUGAAUGGAGGUUGGUAAGUAACAAACAGCCAACCGAGGAUCUUUUGCACGGUAUAGUUAGUAUGAAGAAAUUGUUAAACAUAUAUUUUUUUCACUGCUCUUUUUCUGCCUUAUUGUAGAAUUGGCUUUGCCAAUUUAUCAAGAUUCCUAUUGAUCACUCUUCUCUCUUGGAUCUAUUUGGUCUGUUAUAAAUUGAAGAUGGAGUGAUGAGAUCAGG